GACGAACGCUGGCGGCGUGCUUAACACAUGCAAGUCGAACGGAAAGGCCCUGCUUUUGUGGGGUGCUCGAGUGGCGAACGGGUGAGUAACACGUGAGUAACCUGCCCUUGACUGUGGGAUAACUUCAGGAAACUGGGGAUAAUACCGGCUAGGAGCUCCUGCUGCAUGGUGGGGGUUGGAAAGUUUCGGCGGUUGGGGAUGGACUCGCGGCUUAUCAGCUUGUUGGUGGGGUAGUGGCUUACCAAGGCUUUGAUGGGUAGCCGGCCUGAGAGGGUGACCGGCCACAUUGGGACUGAGAUACGGCCCAGACUCCUACGGGAGGCAGCAGUGGGGAAUAUUGCACAAUGGGCGGAAGCCUGAUGCAGCAACGCCGCGUGCGGGAUGACGGCCUUCGGGUUGUAAACCGCUUUCGCCUGUGACGAAGCGUGAGUGACGGUAAUGGGUAAAGAAGCACCGGCUAACUACGUG
RNAcentral lists this ribosomal RNA (468 nucleotides) under uncultured bacterium. RNAcentral describes it as "partial 16S ribosomal RNA". It matches the Rfam family "Bacterial small subunit ribosomal RNA", at positions 28 to 507 of the family's 1533-position model. The record is from RNAcentral.